UUUUUUCGCAUUUAGCCCUCUGACAAAUUUUUAUUUUAAAAUUAGCCCUGUCAAAAUUUAAUUUGCAAAAAUGGCUCUGGGCGUGCUACGCAAGCGCCACGUCAGCACCAUGCGGGCAGGGCCGGGGCGCGUGUGUUAAGUUGAACACGGUGAACCAUUCACCGUAUUCAAACACGGUGAAUGGUAACACGGUGAAUGGUUCGCCGUGUUUAGUAUGUAUUUUUAUUGAAAUUAAAGAGGAAUAGGAAGUAGGGAUGUCAAUAGGUAUGGAUAUCCGAAAUAUUAUCUGAAUCAAAACCCGAAUAAAUUAUAUAUAUAUAUAUAUAUAUACAUAAUUUAUUUUUAUUUAUUUAUACAAUAUAUAAAAUAUUUAAUACUUUUUAUUUCUUAGAUCUUCAUCCAACGGUAUAGAUUUUUAAAACCCGCUGGGUUCAGGUUCGGAUUUCGAGUUUUUGGUCGGAUAUGGAUAUAGGUAUGAGUUUUUAAAAUCCGUCGGGUUCGGAUCCGGAUUUGGAUUUUAAUUUGAUUUUCGGGUUCGGGUUCGGAUUUUUGAAAAAGAGAAGAAAAGGAAUACAAAUUUCCUAUUCCUCUUUUCAAUAUACAAAAAAUACAUACCAAAUACGGUGAAUGGAGAAUGGUUCACCGUGUUUAACUUAACUACCGCCCCCAGCCCCGCUCGCGUGGCACUGACGUAGUGCCUAUGUGGCAGGUCUAAGAUCAUUUUUGCAAAUUAAAUUUUGACAGAGCUAUUUUUAAAAUAAAAAUUUGCCGGGAGCUAAAUGCAAAAAAAGCCCCCAAAAGAAUCAAGAGAAUUUUCUUGCACAUUUCUCAUGAGCAUUGCUAUGGGUACCCCUAAAUGUCCCUCUUAGAGUCCUCAAUUUAUAUUUCAAGUUGUGAAAUAACUAAUUAGUCUAAAAGCAUAAGCUGCUAGAAAAUAAUAUCAUUUUUUUAAGACCAAUACUUUUUGAUAGGCACUUUAUACAAUAUUCCUUUUUUAAGACUCGAGAUUUCAAGAGAAAAUAUAAAGAGACUCAAAAGUAUUCAAACUCUGAAUUUUCUAUUCUAAUAGUAUGUGAAACAAUCAAUUACUCUCAAAGCUUAAAUUGACAGAAAAUGGCAUCUCUAAUAUCUACAUUCA
Molecule: long non-coding RNA, 1138 nt
Filed under: Ananas comosus (pineapple)
Lineage: Eukaryota; Viridiplantae; Streptophyta; Magnoliopsida; Poales; Bromeliaceae
Description: long non-coding RNA (ACOM_LNC036473)
Source: RNAcentral